UACGUAGGGUGCAAGCGUUGUCCGGAAUUAUUGGGCGUAAAGAGCUCGUAGGCGGUCUGUCGCGUCUGCUGUGAAAACUCAGGGCUUAACCCUGAGCUUGCAGUGGGUACGGGCAGACUAGAGUGCGGUAGGGGAGACUGGAAUUCCUGGUGUAGCGGUGAAAUGCGCAGAUAUCAGGAGGAACACCGGUGGCGAAGGCGGGUCUCUGGGCCGUAACUGACGCUGAGGAGCGAAGGCGUGGGGAGCGAACGGG
This 253-nucleotide ribosomal RNA is filed under the name uncultured bacterium. RNAcentral describes it as "partial 16S ribosomal RNA". It matches the Rfam family "Bacterial small subunit ribosomal RNA", at positions 524 to 776 of the family's 1533-position model. The record is from RNAcentral.